Molecule: ribosomal RNA, 253 nt
Filed under: uncultured bacterium
Lineage: Bacteria
Description: partial 16S ribosomal RNA
Rfam family: Bacterial small subunit ribosomal RNA
Source: RNAcentral
UACGUAGGGUGCUAGCGUUGUUCGGAAUCAUUGGGCGUAAAGCGAGUGCAGGCUGUUAAUUAAGUCGGGUGUGAAAUCCCUGGGCUCAACCGAGGAAGUGCAUCCGAAACUAAUUAGCUAGAGAAUGGUAGAGGAAGGUGGAAUUCCAAGUGUAGAGGUGAAAUUCGUAGAUAUUUGGAGGAAUACCGGAGGCGAAGGCGGCCUUCUGGACCAUUUCUGACGCUGAGACUCGAAAGCGUGGGGAGCAAACAGG